GUCCGCACUGUAAACGAUGAUCACUCGUUGUUGGCGAUACACAGUCAGCGACUAAGCGAAAGCAUUAAGUGAUCCACCUGGGGAGUACGACCGCAAGGUUGAAACUCAAAGGAAUUGACGGGGGCCCGCACAAGCGGAGGAGCAUGUGGUUUAAUUCGAUGGUACGCGAGGAACCUUACCUGGGCUUGAAAGACAGUUGACCGUCUCUGAAAGGAGACUUUUCGCAAGAACAACUGUCUAGGUGCUGCAUGGCUGUCGU
This 259-nucleotide ribosomal RNA is filed under the name uncultured bacterium. RNAcentral's name for it is "partial 16S ribosomal RNA". It matches the Rfam family "Bacterial small subunit ribosomal RNA", at positions 793 to 1055 of the family's 1533-position model. The record is from RNAcentral.